GAGCACGUAGGUGGGUUUGUAAGUCAGAUGUGAAAGCCUUCUGUUCAACGGAAGAAUUGCAUCUGAAACUACAAACCUUGAGUAUAGGAGGGGAGAAUGGAACUUCUGGUGGAGCGGUGAAAUGCGUAGAUAUCAGAAGGAACGCCGGCGGCGAAAGCGAUUCUCUGGCCUAUUACUGACACUCAGUGUGCGAAAGCUAGGGGAGCAAACGGGAUUAGAUACCCCGGUAGUCCUAGCCGUAAACGAUAAGCACUAAGUAGAGGGG
Molecule: ribosomal RNA, 265 nt
Filed under: uncultured anaerobic ammonium-oxidizing bacterium
Lineage: Bacteria
Description: partial 16S ribosomal RNA
Rfam family: Bacterial small subunit ribosomal RNA
Source: RNAcentral